RNAcentral lists this ribosomal RNA (407 nucleotides) under uncultured bacterium. RNAcentral's name for it is "bacterial SSU rRNA". It matches the Rfam family "Bacterial small subunit ribosomal RNA", at positions 355 to 776 of the family's 1533-position model. The record is from RNAcentral.
UGGGGAAUAUUGGGCAAUGGGCGAAAGCCUGACCCAGCAACGCCGCGUGAAGGAAGAAGGUCUUCGGAUUGUAAACUUCUGUCCUAUGGGAAGAAAAAAAUGACUGUACCAUAGGAGGAAGCUCCGGCUAACUACGUGCCAGCAGCCGCGGUAAUACGUAGGGAGCGAGCGUUGUCCGGAAUUACUGGGCGUAAAGGGUGCGUAGGCGGUUUUUUAAGUCAGAUGUGAAAUACCCGGGCUUAACCCGGGGGGUGCAUUUGAAACUGGAAGACUUGAGUGCAGGAGAGGUAAAUGGAAUUCCUAGUGUAGCGGUGAAAUGCGCAGAUAUUAGGAGGAACACCGGUGGCGAAGGCGAUUUACUGGACUGUAACUGACGCUGAGGCACGAAAGCGUGGGGAGCAAACAGG